GAUGAACGCUAGCUACAGGCUUAACACAUGCAAGUCGAGGGGAAACGAUAUUGGAAGCUUGCUUCUGAUAGGCGUCGACCGGCGCGCGGGUGAGUAACGCGUAUCCAACCUGCCCAUCACUUGGGGAUAACCUUGUGAAAGUAAGACUAAUACCCAAUGACGUCUCUAGAAGACAUCUGAAAGAGAUUAAAGAUUUAUCGGUGAUGGAUGGGGAUGCGUCUGAUUAGCUUGUUGGCGGGGUAACGGCCCACCAAGGCGACGAUCAGUAGGGGUUCUGAGAGGAAGGUCCCCCACAUUGGAACUGAGUCACGGUCCAAACUCCUACGGGAGGCAGCAGUGAGGAAUAUUGGUCAAUGGACGAGAGUCUGAACCAGCCAAGUAGCGUGCAGGAUGACGGCCCUAUGGGUUGUAAACUGCUUUUAUAAGGGAAUAAAGUGGGAGUCGCGACUCUUUUUGCAUGUACCUUAUGAAUAAGGACCGGCUAAUUCCGUGCCAGCAGCCG
RNAcentral lists this ribosomal RNA (502 nucleotides) under uncultured bacterium. RNAcentral describes it as "bacterial SSU rRNA". It matches the Rfam family "Bacterial small subunit ribosomal RNA", at positions 28 to 517 of the family's 1533-position model. The record is from RNAcentral.